CACUGACCAAUACGUAUUUAGAAGACUCAUGCUUUCCUUUUUUUGUUAACACACGUUCCCCCAAAAAAAGCAGAGUUUCGGCGGGUUUCUUGUUCUUGAAACUCCAAACCCGGCGAACUCGAUUUGAACUGUAUUCGGGAGCGUAAAAACCGCGAAUGUGGGAAAAACGAGACGGGUACAACCACAAAGAACUUCGGUUAAGACUGUGGAAUUAUUAACAUCGUUAAUAAUUACGUAGUUCCGGUUCUAAAGAAUGCCGGGCUGAUCUGAGGAUCAAAUCAGAUACUCGCCCAUUUCAACUUUGGCCGUGGACGAGGCGAAAGCGGUGUAGUUUGUGUCUAAAUCGCGAGUUUGAAACCGGAAGAGUGAAUUAGGUUAUUCAAAUAAUUGUAACUAGAAAUACCCUCCAGUGCAUCCGUCAAACGAUAAAUAGGAGGAAGAGCCGUUUUCGACACCACGUCCAUCGUUGGAAUCCAGCCCCGAACGCUAUUGAAGGUGGCCGCGCAUCCCAUUCGUAAGCGCUACAACACUCGCGGAAAAGGAAAACCAGCCGCGGCUCGAAUACCAGAGUUCAUCGGCGGAUUCAUCGCCCACGUCUCCCAUGCACGCA
Toxorhynchites rutilus septentrionalis is the source of this 610-nucleotide long non-coding RNA. RefSeq lists it as uncharacterized. The transcript is spliced from 3 exons. Lineage: Eukaryota; Metazoa; Arthropoda; Insecta; Diptera; Culicidae. The record is from RefSeq and is a predicted model, not a curated record.